This 440-nucleotide ribosomal RNA is filed under the name uncultured bacterium. Its description in RNAcentral is "partial 16S ribosomal RNA". It matches the Rfam family "Bacterial small subunit ribosomal RNA", at positions 338 to 795 of the family's 1533-position model. The record is from RNAcentral.
CCUACGGGGAGCAGCAGUGGGGAAUAUUGCACAAUGGGGGAAACCCUGAUGCAGCGACGCCGCGUGAGUGAAGAAGUAAUUCGGUAUGUAAAGCUCUAUCAGCAGGGAAGAAAAUGACGGUACCUGAGUAAGAAGCCCCGGCUAACUACGUGCCAGCAGCCGCGGUAAUACGUAGGGGGCAAGCGUUAUCCGGAUUUACUGGGUGUAAAGGGAGCGUAGACGGUAGUGCAAGUCUGGAGUGAAAGGCGGGGGCUCAACCCCCGGACUGCUCUGGAAACUGUACGGCUGGAGUGCAGGAGAGGUAAGUGGAAUUCCUAGUGUAGCGGUGAAAUGCGUAGAUAUUAGGAGGAACACCAGUGGCGAAGGCGGCUUACUGGACUGUAACUGACGUUGAGGCUCGAAAGCGUGGGGAGCAAACAGGAUUAGAUACCCCUGUAGUC